UUUCUCAAUAUUACAGACGUGUUUUCUUGCUAUUUUCAAGGAGGUCUCUUCUUAUUAAUUUGGAACUUCAUUAAUUAAACAUGUUAAGCAUUAGAAGCCAAGUUUAUCUUAAUCAUUGGUGCUUAUCGCUGCUGCAUAGGCAAUAUAUUGCACGAUCUAAGGUUCACUUUUUGUUGGGUAAAGAGAUGUGAAUUGCUCUUAUCUAAGUAUUCUCUUUAUUUGGUUUCGCACACAAUUUUAGGUUGUUAAAGCUGUGUGAUCUGAAUUUCGUUUGAUCUGGUCUGAAAAAUUUGAGGUGCAAUUCACUUGUUAAAGAAAUAAGAUAGAUAGGUAAAAUUGGAGAUUUGUGGGGACCUUGCUGCACAACUUAAAUCUAUAUAGAAUUAUACUUCUUCCAUUAGACGAGUUGUUUAGUCCUUAAAAACCGUGCAUACCCGCAAACCUUUUGUAUUGUUGUUUUUCAACAUUAGAGAUUUUUU
This 479-nucleotide long non-coding RNA is filed under the name Gossypium barbadense (sea-island cotton). RNAcentral describes it as "long non-coding RNA (GBAR_LNC022548)". Lineage: Eukaryota; Viridiplantae; Streptophyta; Magnoliopsida; Malvales; Malvaceae. The record is from RNAcentral.